RNAcentral lists this ribosomal RNA (441 nucleotides) under uncultured bacterium. RNAcentral describes it as "partial 16S ribosomal RNA". It matches the Rfam family "Bacterial small subunit ribosomal RNA", at positions 338 to 795 of the family's 1533-position model. The record is from RNAcentral.
CCUACGGGAGGCAGCAGUGGGGAAUUUUGCGCAAUGGGGGCAACCCUGACGCAGCAACGCCGCGUGCUCGAUGACGCCCUUCGGGGUGUAAAGAUCUUUCAGUGGGGACGAAACCUGACGGUACCCAAAGAGGAAUCGCCGGCUAACUCCGUGCCAGCAGCCGCGGUAAUACGGGGGGUGCACGCGUUGUCCGGAAUCAUUGGGCGUAAAGAGUUCGUAGGUGGGACUGUAAGUCUGGUGUUAAAGGCGGAAGCUCAACUUCCGUAGGGCAUUGGAAAAUGGAGAGCUUGAAUGCGGUAGAGGUAGAGGGAAUUCCUGGUGUAGCGGUGAAAUGCGUAGAUAUCAGGAGGAACACCGGUGGCGUAGGCGCUUUACUGGGCCGUAAUUGACACUGAGGAACGAAAGCGGGGGUAGCAAACGGGAUUAGAUACCCGAGUAGUC